GGAGCACAGGCUCCGGACGCGCAGGCUCAGCGACCAUGGCUCAUGGGCCCAGCCGCUCCGCGGCAUAUGGGAUCUUCCCGGACUGGGUCACAAACCCGUGUCCCCUGCAUCGGCAGGUGGACUUUCAACCACUGCGCCACCAGGGAAGCCCCUGACAUUGCUUUUUAAGAUGAGCAUACCGGCUUACACACCCAUCAGCUGUGUACAAGAGUUCAAAAAUUUUCACAUUCUUACUAGCAAAUAUUAUUGAAACUCUGCAAAAUUUUGCUGAGGUAUGGGUAUGAAAUGGCUUAAAAUUUAUCUUCUCUUAGUAAAUAAUGAGGUUAAGGAUCUUUGCUUAUGUUUGUUGGUCAUUCCAGAUUCCACAUCUAUGAAUUGCCUGUGUAUGGUUCUUGUCAAUUAUUCUGUUUGAUUGUUGGCUUUUUUCUUGUUUAUUUGUUAGUGCUCUCUGUAUAGUCUGUAUAUUGAUCCUUGUUGAUCAUAUGGCUUGCAAAUAUCUUCUGUCAGUCUUCUGUUUGUAGUUUCUACUUGUUUCCAGUGUCUUUUGAUGUAGUUUUAAAUUUUAAUGAUGUCAAAUUUACGAAAUUUUUCCUUCACAUUUUGUGCAGUUUGUGUAUUUUAAAAGAAAUCUUGCUUUAUUCAAGAGCAUAAAAAAAUGCUUCUAAUUUUUUUCUAAAAGUGUGAAAGUUUUCCUUUUUGACUUUUAAGUCUUUAAACAACUGGAAGUAAUUUUUUAUUUGUCAACCAAAUUUUUUUUUCCAUUUAUAUCAAAACAUUGCAGUGCUAUUUAUCAAAUACUGUAUAUACACGUAUACACCUACAUGCCUACAUCUAUAUUUAUUUCUAUAAGUAACUGUAGAUAUUGGGAAUUGAGUUCAUGCUGAUACCUUCAAUUCCAAUCCAAUACCACAGGAUACAUUUCGGCCUUUCUCUUUUUCAUGUUUGUAACUCCUUUUCUGACAUGAGGAAUCUGGCUCCCAAUAUCUGUGUAUUUACUUAAUUGAUUAAUCCUUCCUGUGUGUAAUCAAUUUCCCCAUGUCGUCUUGCUCCUCUCAUGGGCUCAGACCUCAGAUCUUACGUUGGUGAAACUUGAAUGGGGUCUGUGGAGUAGGUAGUUGUAAUAUAUCAGUAUAAAUUUUCCUGCUGUAGCUUCCUUCCUUCACCCCUCUGAACACUCUUCUCACUCACUGGGGCUCCGAACUCACUCUGGGCUGGGAUGCCACCUCCUCUCCCACUUCCUUUGGCCCUGCCUUUUGGAUGGAAUUAUUCUGGAAGGAAGGUAGGAUUUUGUUUAAUUUAAAAGAAAAUUACUAUGGAAAAUUUCAAACAUAUAAGUGUAAAGAGAAUAUUACAAUGAACCCCCCUCUGCCUCUCACGUAACUUCAACAACUCUCAUCUUUGCACCAUUUUCUUUUUUCCUCUGUUUCUUUCUGAGUAUUUCAAAGCAAAUCUAGACCUUAUAUCAGUUCACCCACAAGUACAAAUUUCAGUAUGAAUUUCUAACAAAUGAGGACUUUUUUCUUAACAUGAACAUAGUAUCAUUAUGGCAACUAACUUGGUAGUGAUUCCUUAAUGCCAUUGUGAUAUAGUUUUCCCAGUUGUCUCAAAUAUGCCAUUUUACAGUUGUUUUGGUCUGAUUAGGGCCCAAAUAAGGUUUACCGUUGCAUUUGGUUGGUAUAUCUAUUCAGUCUCUUUUAAUAUAUGACAGCUCCCCUUUCUCCCCUGCCCUUUUGAAAGAUGCCAUUUAUUUGUUGAAGAACCUGAAUCUUCUGUUCUAUAGAAUAUAGAAUGUCCCACAUUCUGGAUUUGGUUGAUUACUUCUUUUAAGUAUCAUUUAAUUCAUUAAUUCUCAAACUCAGCUGCAUACUGGAAUCACCUAGGAAAUAUUUAAAGUCAUUCAUGCCUGAGUCCCACCCUCUGACAUUCUGAUUUAAUCGAUUUCGGUUUCAGCCAAGGUAUCAGGAUGUUUUAAAAGCUCCUCAGUGAUCCUAAUGUGCUGAGGUGUUUGAAAACUGCUUAACUUGCUUCUGUAUCUCACCUAUACAAAGGCAUUAGGAUCUAGAAACUAGAUUCAGGUUCACUUAUUUUGCCAAUGCUUCAUGGCAGUGCCCUGUACCUAGUGUGGCAGCUCAUCAAGAGAAGAAUAUUUUCUAGUAGUUUUCCUUUGUAACAGCCUUGACAUCUCUCAUUUUCUUAAGUUUUAUCUCUUUGUUAUCCCUUGAACUGCAGAGGGAACAAAAACUAGGGAAUAAAAACUCAGGAAGGGAGCUUCCCUUGUGGCGCAGUGGUUGAGAGUCUGCCUGCUGAUGCAGGGGACACUGGUUCGAGCCCUGGUCUGGGAGGAUCCCACAUGCCGCGGAGCAACUGGGCCCGUGAGCCACAACUACUGAGCCUGUGCGUCUGGAGCCUGUGCUCCUCAACAAGAGGCCGCGACAGUGAGAGGCCCACACACCGCGAUGAAGAGUGGCCCCCGCUCGCUACAACUGGAGAAAGACCUCGCACAGAAAUGAAGACCCAACACAGCCAAAAAUAAAUAAAUAAAUAAAUUUAUAAAAACAAACAAACAAAAUAACUCAGGAAGGUAUCAGCAUGGUAUUCUUCCAUUUAAUGAACUUCUACCAAACUUGUAUUCCAUUGGGUAGAAAGGGGACUUACUGACAUCUUGGUCCACCAAAAUAACUUUGCAGUCAUUUCUGGCUUAAAAUCUAAUCCUGCCUGGUUCAAAGGAAUCUCGGGGCUUCCAUUUUAGGGUAGGCCUAAUUUAUUAUAGGCCAGGCAUUGUUCUAAGCACUUUACACAAAAACUCACCUUAAUGCUCACAACAUCCCUUUCAUCAAUGCAAUAAUCAAUAAACAAUCUAUAAUAAUAAUAGAAAAGAGUUUUAUUUGAGCCAAACUGAGGACUGUAACCCAAGAGACAUGGAUUCAAGAAGCACUUGAAUGGUGUUCUGUCAGACUACAAAAUGGGGGGCAGGGGCUUAGGUAGGCAAAAAACAAUUUGUACACAAAUUGUCAAGAAUUAGGAUUGGAGGGGACUUCCCUGGUGGUCCAGUGUUUAAGAAUCUGCCUUCCAAUGCAGGGGACAUGGGUACGAUCCCUGGUCGGGGAACUAAGAUCCCACAUGCCACAGGGCAUCUAAGCCCACGUGCUCUAGAGCCCACGUGCCACAACUAGAGAGCCUGCAUGCUGCAACUACUGAGCCUGCACAUGCACCACAACGAAAGAUCCCACAUGCCACAACUAAGACCUGACACAGCCAAAUAAAUAAAUUAGGAUUGGAGCUGGCAAGAAGUAAGGGUACUUGCUAAGCAAGGGUUGGUUGGGGCCCAAAAUGGGUUACAUAGUUACAAGGGGAGACCUUGAGACCUUAAGGUUGCAGCUGGCAGCUACUAGCAGAUAUUGUUUUGAGAACAGCUGGUAGUGUCCUUGAGUUUGAUACAGUUUAGAAAAUUCAGGUUCUCAGUGACGCAGGAACAUUUCUGAAACCACAUGCACAAUGGUUACCCGGUUCCAUUUUGGAUGCCCGAACCACAGUUUCAUAUCUUGUCAGAACAAAGAACAAAUAUCAAACAUGACGGGUGCAUUCCUUCAAGGUUUCAAAAGAGACAGAUUAGCACAUACACAGCGAGUCAGCAUGACCUUGGUGUCUGGGAAGGGACCCUUAUCUUUGAAGGAGUAAUAGCAUUGGCAUCAUGGGCAGGCUGGGGGGGGAUUUAUCUCUGUCUUCAAAGUGGAGAUUGUGAACAAUAUGGUAAAUGCAUUCUUUUUUAAUGGUUAGAACAGAUGUACACCAUAUAAGUCAGAAUGACUUCCCCAUACCUCAACAGGCAAAAAUUUCCUCCAUCACUAUCUACUGUUACUAUCCCCAUUUAUAGAUUGGGUAAGUCAGGCACAGAGAGGAUAAGUAAUUUACCAAGGUCACCCAGCUAGUACGUGGUACAGCCAAGAUUACAUACCCAGGAAACUUGGCUUGAGAGUCGGCGGAUCUAACCACUAUUCCAGACCAUAAAUGAGGGCUGGAAAGAAACAAGAAUGAAAGCCCAAGAUAGUAUGGUCCCUGAUGCCAGGGACUAGAGAGUUUCUGAUAGUGGGAAGCCUGGAAAUUCUGGUUGCCUGAGAGGAAGCCAUGGAAAAUACAAAGUGGUAGCUGUUGUGUGUGGAGGGGAAGAGGGACAGAAUCUCUAGUUACUUUUGCAGGAGCAAUCUCAAUGUCUUUGUUGGCAGUUUGCCGCCUACAGUGUGUUAAGGUGAGGACUAGAGUCAGAGAUAGGAGGGCUUUCCUUCAAGUAGUUUAGCCUUGAAAGGGAAGGAAGAAUGGCAGCUGGAGUGGAGCAAGAGCCAGGGGCAGCCACUGCUUCUCCAAGCAAGUGCCUGGUGAUGUGGUCUUCGAUGUUUCUGAGAGAAAGGGCAUGUCCUCCUGCCUGGUGCUCUGAGGAAGCUCUGCUUUCUACUGAAUUUUAGUGUCAAUCUUAUGCCAGCUCUGUAGUCAAGCUUUACAUCAGAGCAUGGGGGGGGGGCACAACAGCAUUCUUACAGGACUGAAAGAUCUAGUCUUAUUUCUUAUGAUACAGAGCCUGUCAUCCUUUUUUUCUCCUUCCCCUAACUGCUUCCCUUGAGUGGAGGUAAGGGCGUGGUUGCUAACGGGUUAACUCGGGGACAACCACCGAGAGGUGCUUCCUAGAGAGCCCGGGAAGUGGCAUUGAUUCCCACCGAGGCUUCCUGUGCCCCAUCCUCAAUUUUUCUCCAGCAUCUGGAAUCUGUUCAUUCCACCAAGACAUCCUUUGGGGUUACUUAUUGUGGGAUUCGGGGUGGGGUGCAGAGGAGGACGCUGCAAAGGCACGGACUACAGGGGGCAAUCUGUGAAGUUGCGCCCCAGGGGUGUCCUGGGCCCCUGGACACGCGGAAGGGGACCACUGCAGUUUUACAGUAUAAUUGUGAUUUCCCACCUUUCAAGAAUUUUCCGAAGAAAUACAACUCCCAGCUAGACUGAGGCCCAAGUACUGCCUUGGUCCAGGAUGGCUAGAGAAUCGAAGGAAAGCGCAGCCUUGGACGCCCAGUCUGCAGAGGACCGGACCGGGAUCCUGACCGUGAAGGUGGAGAAGGAGGAAGCCUCCGCCUUGGCUGCUGAGGCGGUCGCCCCAGGCAGCCCAGCUCCGGGCUCCGAGCACUCCCGCCAGCGCUUCCGAGGCUUCCGCUACCCGGAGGCUGAGGGGCCCCGCGAGGCUCUGAGCCGGCUCCGGGAGCUCUGCCGACUGUGGCUGCGGCCAGAGGUGCACACUAAGGAGCAGAUCCUGGAAGUGCUGGUGCUGGAGCAGUUCCUGACCAUCCUGCCGAGGGACCUGCAGAGCUGGGUGCGGAAGCAGCAUCCGGAGAGCGGGGAGGAGGUGGUGGUGCUCUUGGAGUAUUUGGAGAAGCAGUUGGAUGAGCCGAUGCCGCAGGUCCCAGGUGGUGACCAGGGGCAAGAACUGUUCUGUUGCAAGAUGGCAGUGUUGACACCAGCUCAGAGGUCACGAAAUACCCAGUUCCAGCCAAGAAAGGCUCCACUCAAGCAUGAAUCUCUGGGAUCCCACUCCUUACCAGACAGAAUUCUCCAGGUUCCUAGGCUUGCCUCUGGAGGGCGCUGCAGAGGAGAUGAAGUGGUAGCCGCCAGGCUUGCCCCAGAGUCCCAGGGGCUGCUGAAAAUGGAAGAUGUGGCCCUGACCCUCACUCCUGGAUGGACACAGCUGGAUUCAUCUCAGGUGAACUUCUACAGAGAUGAAAGGCAGGAGAACUGUGGCAGCCUGAUCUCCUUGGGUGGUGCAGUGCAGACGAAGAUCAGGGACCUGCCUCCAGACGAGGACCAUCCAGGACAAGAGUCUGGGCAGAUGCCAUGCCACCUGGGUGAAGCCAUUGGCCAGAUUCCUGCACGUGCAGAAGCUGGUGAUCAGGAGGGCAGGUUACAAAGAAAGCAGAAAAGUGCUGCAGGGAAUAGGCGGCAUUAUUGCCAUGAAUGUGGAAAGACUUUUGCUCAGAGUUCAGGCCUGACUAAGCACAGGAGAAUCCACACUGGGGAGAAACCCUAUGAAUGUGAGGAGUGUGGCAAGACCUUCAUCGGGAGCUCUGCCCUCGUCAUUCAUCAGAGAGUCCACACUGGGGAGAAACCAUAUGAGUGUGAGGAAUGUGGCAAAGUCUUCAGUCACAGUUCAAACCUUAUCAAACACCAGAGAACUCACACCGGGGAGAAGCCCUACGAGUGUGAUGACUGCGGGAAAACCUUUAGCCAGAGCUGCAGCCUCCUUGAACAUCGCAAGAUCCACACUGGGGAGAAGCCAUACCAGUGCAAUGUGUGCGGCAAAGCCUUUAGGCGCAAUUCACAUCUCCUGAGACAUCAGAGGAUCCACGGCGAUAAAAACGUUCAGAAUCCUGACCGUGGAGAGACCUGGGAGAGUCAGGGGAGGAUGGGAAGCCAGUGGGAAAAUGUUGAGGCUCCCGUGUCUUAUAAAUGUAAUGAGUGUGAGAGAAGUUUCACUAGGAAUAGAAGCCUUAUUGAGCACCAAAAAAUCCACACUGGUGAGAAACCCUAUCAGUGUGAUACAUGCGGAAAAGGCUUCACCCGAACUUCAUACCUUAUUCAACAUCAGAGAAGCCACGCUGGGAAAAAAAUUCUGUCUCCAUGACCCAUGUCUUAUAUGCCAGAGUUGGUGCUCACUCCUCGUUGAACUGAAGCCACCCUGGAGCCCUUGCUGACUAGAAAAUUGUGAGCUGGGCUUUAUUUACUCCCACACAUCAUCAGGUGUUUGUUAGAAAUAGAGACUGGCUGAGGUGAAUUAUCUUCUACAUCUUAGAAGAUCACCUUCUGCUAAGUUCUUCAGAGACUGCUACCUUCUUCGUAGGUGCCUGAGUGCCCGUCCCCAGCUUCCAGCUUUAACAAGAAUGGGUUCUGCCUCUGAGGAAAUCGUCCCCAGCAUAGCGUUUUCUUCUGUUCUCAAGUACCCUUGCUGGAUUCCUGCUCUGAAGUACCCCUGGCUGACUAGGGACUUUGCAAACGGUGGGGCUCUUCCUUUAUCAUUUCCCUACAAUCUUUCAUUGCCUUCAUUAUCCCCUUGUUGCAGUAUAAUUUAAAACUUUAGUGUUCUAAAAUCCUGUAGACGUCCUCCAGUUAAUCUUUUCUAGGCUUUUAAAAUUUCCUUUUAAAUUAACCGUAUUUUUGUUACCUCCGCAAAGCUAGCCAUUUCCUCUUGUCUCCUUAUCUUUAUUUUUCCUAACGAUUUGCUAAUAGCCCUGAUCUUAAACAUUGUUCAUUUUUCUUUGGUGUUUGUUUCUUAUGUCAUGUAAAGAGAUACAUAUAAAGCCUUUUACAAACCAGAAAACAUUAUACACUUAAUAAGUAUAAUUUAUUGAGAUCAACAAAGGACCACUGCACCUCCUUUCACUCUUUCUGCUCCUUCCAAACCUAAAAGACUUCUCCGUAGAGGAAGGAAAGAUUAUAGAAAAAUACUUUUGAGUGCCUACUAUGCCUGACAAUGAAAGCGAUAAAGCAUACACACACACAUGCAUACAUACUUGGGCUUAAGCUUUCAGUAUAGUAAUAUUGAUAAGACUUGCACAUAAAAAUAAGACAGUGCCAUGGUAAAUAACUUGUGAGUGGUGAACUGAAUGCUGUGGAAGUUCAGAGGAGGGAAAGGUUACUUCUGGCUGUGUGCUAUUGCAUGGACAGGGUGACAUGUUAGCUGAAAAGACUAAAGGAGUUUGUCAAAUUUAGUAACUAAGGCAAGUUUGAAGAGAUACAUACAUUGUAGCGGCCUUCAAUGCCAGAGCAAGGGGUUGAAAUUUUAUUCAGUAACACUGGGGAGCCACUGACAUUUUAUGAUAAAAAUAUUAUUUAGGAAACUAUCUGGCAUUAUUGUAUAAUUAAAAAGUUACUUUGCUGAUAGUCUUUUAGACACCCCACUUUUGUAUAUAACAAAUGUGUGUUUAUAAGUAAGUGAAUUAUAAAAUGGGUUUAACUCUAGCCUAUUUAAAAGGAUGGUCAAAAAAAUUAUUUUCAGAUGAAAUUAGACCCCAUAGAAUAAGCUGCUUAGUUAGAUAUAAGCAGUAUAUAAAGUGGAAUAAAACGUCACUUUUCAUGCUUUUAAAAAUUGUAUUUAGGAAUUUUAGUGUCAAUUAGCCAUUCUGUUGGAUUGGCCAAAAAGUUCAUUGGGGUUUUGGAAGUUUUUGGCCAAUCCAAUACUUCACUUCUCCAAUUGAAACAAUGCUGAAAUCCCCCAUUUUCUUUCUUCUUCCUUUUCAUUAAUAAGUAACUAAUUAUAGCUAUUUUUUCUACUUGGGUAGAAAAAGAGAUUUUUGAUGAAUAGCCCUCCUAGAUGGGUUCUUAAUUUUGGUAAAGAUGUGUGUAUUCCUGCAAAAGAUUCUGUUUCUUUUCCUUCUCCGGCUGCGUUGGGUCUUCGUUGCUGCGCACGGGCUUACUCUACUUGCGGGUGAGCGGGGGCUACUCUUUGUUGCGGUGCAUGGGCUUCUCAUCGUGGUGGCUUCUCUUGUUGCAGAGCAUGGGCUCUAGGCGCCCGGGCUUCAGUUAUGGUGCAGGGGCUCAGUAGUAGUGGCUCACAGGCUCUAGAGCAUAGGCUCAGUAGUUGUAGCACACGGGCUUAGUUGCUCCGGGGCACGUGGGAUCUUCCCAUGUCCCCUUCAUUGGCAGGCAGAUUCUUAACCACUGCGCCACCAGGGAAGUCCCUCUUUCUCCUCCUUUAGUGGGAAAAAAGAUAGUAGGAGUGCCAACUUACCUCACAGGCUUGCGAGGAUCUGCUCAUACAAAUAAGAAGUGCUGGAUAAAUAAUCUGAAAACGUUAAUAUUGAUAGAGAAAUGGAGGUUAAACACUUUGUUAGCCAAAACCUCUAUAUAUUGGAAUGACAAUUGUUUAAUAGUAAAGGCUCUCUAAAAAAAGUGUCCUGACACAAGCGUGUGACAGUGUUGAUCUUAUCUUGUAGUGAUGUCCCAAAUCAUCUGUGUGGUUCCAUCUCAAUUAUUCAUAAUGAGAACUUUACUCAGUAAACUUAACUUAUCUACUUUUCUCUAAACACACUUUUUAGUCUAUCUUUUGUUACUCCUUGUGAUAGCUAAAAUUGGGUCUGACGAAUUCAAAUGCAGGAACUUUUUUUCAGUCAGCUCUGAAAUGUGGUACCUGUUUUGUACGUUUUAAAUGGAGUUGCUGCUACAGAAAUAUCUGGGGAUGACUACUUUCCUGUGGACUUUUUUUGUUAACAUAACAUUUUAUUGUAGAAAUAUCCUUUUAUUUCUGCAUCUACCCACAUUUCUCACUUUGUCUGUAGCAUUAGCAAGUCCUUUCUGUUUACCACAUCAAUCUAAGACCUUGGAAUUUGAACAUAGCAAGUGCUUCUGGUCUCCUUUCCCAAUUAAUGGCUGAAUACUGUGAUGUAUUCCUGCCUGUUCGAUGUAUUUUGUUUAUUAGGAAUUGGGUUGUCAUCCAAAAUCCUCUGCACAACUUUCCAAAUUCCCAUUUUUAUUCAAAUUUCUAAGCUACUUCAAGAUUUUUAAGGGUCUAGGGAAAAAAAAAUCUGAACAACCCUAAUGUAACUUAUUUGUAUAAUAGUAAUAAACCAUGUGAUUAUUCCUUUCAUCUGAGCGAAUUCUUAAACAACUAACACAUUGCAUAAUUUCCAAGCUGUCAGAAAAUAACUAUAGUUUCAGGUAUUAACUAAAGUGUUAAAAAUUUUAACCGUUUUCUUCCCUCUGUUCCUCACCAAUUCUGCCCAUCAGCAUUGGGAUCCUCGGAAAUGAAGUUUGUAGCCUUUCAGACCCGCUACAGCAGGGGGUAUAGAAGGGCUGAGACAUAUGUGUAAGAUAAAUGACAGGCUUACCAGAGCAUCCUUAGCCCCUAGCAGAGUUCCUAUUAAAUGAGUGAAUCUGGAAAUUGAUCCAGCUUGUUCUUUUGUAUUAUUUGUGAAAUAAAAUUCAUAUUUUAUGGCAAGACAAGGAAAACUUAAACAUAAAAAAUUUUCUCUGGGGACUUCCCUGGCAGUUCAGUGGUUAAGACUCUGCAUUUCCACUGCAGGGGGCCUGGGUUCGAUCCCUGGUCGGGGAACUAAGAUCCCUCAUGCCACGUGGUGUGGCCAAAAGAAAAAAAAUUUUUUUUUUCUCUGCUCUUUGGCCUCCUCUCUUUCCUCUACUGUGCAUUGUGUAUCUGCAUUAUGCAUCAACCAAACCUCCCCAUCAGCAGAAAUACCUGUUCAACCAUAAAGAGAAACAUUCUAGCACCAACAAGGUACUCCUUAAAAGGUAACAUUCCUUCUUAAUGGGAAAAAAAGCCCCUUAAAAUGAAAUGUAGAGAAAAGCUCUCUCUCCAUGUUUGGGCCUCUGUCAUCUUUAGAAAAAUUCACUCUGGAGUUAGUUUAUAAAUGUGAUCAUAUUGUCUAUGGCACUGCUUUUGCUCUACAAUGGCAGCACCCCAAUUAAGCAAAAUGUUAUUUUCUCAAAAAAUUUUUUUCAUUCUUCCCAUCAGAAGACCUGUAUUACGAAAAAUUGUACUCAAUUAUUAUAGUUUGAAUAAGAUAAUUAUAUUUCAUUAAUAAAAAUGUGUGGAAAUUUG
Molecule: RNA transcript, 10582 nt
Organism: Orcinus orca (killer whale)
Lineage: Eukaryota; Metazoa; Chordata; Mammalia; Artiodactyla; Delphinidae
Gene name: zinc finger protein with KRAB and SCAN domains 4
Exons: 6
Source: RefSeq, a predicted model, not a curated record